GCCGCGUGAGCGAUGAAGGCCUUCGGGUCGUAAAGCUCUGUUGUCAGAGAAGAACAAGUACCGGAGUAACUGCCGGUACCUUGACGGUACCUGACCAGAAAGCCACGGCUAACUACGUGCCAGCAGCCGCGGUAAUACGUAGGUGGCAAGCGUUAUCCGGAAUUAUUGGGCGUAAAGCGCGCGCAGGCGGUUUCUUAAGUCUGAUGUGAAAGCCCACGGCUCAACCGUGGAGGGUCAUUGGAAACUGGGAGACUUGAGUGCAGGAGAGAAAAGUGGAAUUCCACGUGUAGCGGUGAAAUGCGUAGAGAUGUGGAGGAACACCAGUGGCGAAGGCGGCUUUUUGGCCUGUAACUGACGCUGAGGCGCGAAAGCGUGGGGAGCAAACAGGAUUAGAUACCCUGGUAGUCCACGCCGUAAACGAUGAGUGCUAGGUGUUGGGGGGUUCCACCCUCAGUGCUGACGUUAACACAUUAAGCACUCCGCCUGGGGAGUACGGCCGCAAGGCUGAAACUCAAAGGAAUUGACGGGGGCCCGCACAAGCAGUGGAGCAUGUGGUUUAAUUCGAAGCAACGCGAAGAACCUUACCAGGUCUUGACAUCCUCUGACCACUUGAGAGAUCAAGCUUUCCCCUUCGGGGGACAGAGUGACAGGUGGUGCAUGGUUGUCGUCAGCUCGUGUCGUGAGAUGUUGGGUUAAGUCCCGCAACGAGCGCAACCCUUGACCUUAGUUGCCAGCAUUCAGUUGGGCACUCUAAGGUGACUGCCGGUGACAAACCGGAGGAA
RNAcentral lists this ribosomal RNA (782 nucleotides) under Fictibacillus macauensis. Its description in RNAcentral is "bacterial SSU rRNA". It matches the Rfam family "Bacterial small subunit ribosomal RNA", at positions 396 to 1171 of the family's 1533-position model. Lineage: Bacteria; Bacillati; Bacillota; Bacilli; Caryophanales; Fictibacillaceae. The record is from RNAcentral.